Molecule: long non-coding RNA, 242 nt
Organism: Hippocampus zosterae (dwarf seahorse)
Lineage: Eukaryota; Metazoa; Chordata; Actinopteri; Syngnathiformes; Syngnathidae
Exons: 2
Source: RefSeq, a predicted model, not a curated record
GCAUGGUUGAGGUUUACAGAAGAAGCCGCGAAGGCACAAAAUAACUUGACCGUACGAAUUGUGAUCAAAAGAAUGACAUUUUAAUGGCAUAAUACUUGGAUAUGAAAGCCGACUUUUUCGAUACUGCUUAUGCUGACGAGUGUGUACUCUUGUGUAUUGUAUAUGUACAAACACUCCCUUGUUUGUGUAGGGCUCAUUCAGCCGACACUGCCAUCUGCUGGAGGAAAGUGGUAGCUUCAACU